UCAAAUGAUGAUACUCCAUAUUUUACUUUUUCUGGUACCUCUUGAUUUAGUGUUCCCUGCGGGGAACGCGAUGAUCUAAACGGACUUCUGAUA
Glarea lozoyensis ATCC 20868 is the source of this 93-nucleotide small nucleolar RNA. It matches the Rfam family "A. fumigatus snoRNA Afu_264". The record is from Rfam. NCBI's taxonomy places the organism in Eukaryota, Fungi, Ascomycota, Leotiomycetes, Helotiales, Helotiaceae.